CUCAGCCAGGCUCCGCGAGCCGCAGGGCGGGGAAGCGGGACGUACCAAGCGGCAGGCGGCGGAGGGGUGCGGGCCGGAACUCCGCCCUUCGUGCUGGUCGGUCUCCACGCCCCACUCGGACUAGUGUCACCGCCUCCCCGCCGCAGACACUAUCCGACAAAGGAGGGGGAAUCAAAGGCUGGGCGAAGAGGCAGGGCAGGCGCCGGUGACGCUGCUGGGCAAGCGGGCUCUGCAGUAGCAUUUGUGGCGACCGUGGCAGUGGCUGUGACUGGAAGCUUCUGGAAAUGGCGGCGAUGAGGACCCCCACAUAGGGAUGGCCAUAGCAGCCACAAAAGGAAGCAAACAAGAACAAGUCCUGAUGGAGCAAUUUAUGAAGACAGGCAGCAUAGAGGGAGAAGAACCUGUCUGUCAACCCCACACACG
This 423-nucleotide long non-coding RNA is filed under the name Homo sapiens (human). RNAcentral's name for it is "non-protein coding NDUFV2-AS1:3". Lineage: Eukaryota; Metazoa; Chordata; Mammalia; Primates; Hominidae. The record is from RNAcentral.